RNAcentral lists this ribosomal RNA (256 nucleotides) under uncultured bacterium. Its description in RNAcentral is "partial small subunit ribosomal RNA". It matches the Rfam family "Bacterial small subunit ribosomal RNA", at positions 26 to 285 of the family's 1533-position model. The record is from RNAcentral.
AGGACGAACGCUGGCGGCGUGCUUAACACAUGCAAGUCGAACGGAAAGGCCCGCUUGCGGGUACUCGAGUGGCGAACGGGUGAGUAACACGUGGGCAACCUGCCCUCAGCUUCGGGAUAACACUUGGAAACAGGUGCUAAUACCGGAUAAUAACCUUUCAUCGCAUGGUGGUUGGUUCAAAGUUUUUCGGCUGAGGAUGGGCCCGCGGCCUAUCAGCUUGUUGGUGGGUAAUGGCCUACCAAGGCGACGACGGGUA